RNAcentral lists this transfer RNA (69 nucleotides) under Marmota marmota marmota (Alpine marmot). It matches the Rfam family "tRNA". Rfam says of the family: Transfer RNA (tRNA) molecules are approximately 80 nucleotides in length. Their secondary structure includes four short double-helical elements and three loops (D, anti-codon, and T loops). Further hydrogen bonds mediate the characteristic L-shaped molecular structure. tRNAs have two regions of fundamental functional importance: the anti-codon, which is responsible for specific mRNA codon recognition, and the 3' end, to which the tRNAs corresponding amino acid is attached (by aminoacyl-tRNA synthetases). tRNAs cope with the degeneracy of the genetic code in two manners: having more than one tRNA (with a specific anti-codon) for a particular amino acid; and 'wobble' base-pairing, i.e. permitting non-standard base-pairing at the 3rd anti-codon position. The record is from Rfam by way of RNAcentral. Lineage: Eukaryota; Metazoa; Chordata; Mammalia; Rodentia; Sciuridae. RNAcentral also lists the same sequence under 2 other names.
GGGGCUAUAGCUCAGUGGCAGAGCACUCACCUAGCAUGUGUGAGUCACUGGGUUCAAUUCUUAGCAUCA